RNAcentral lists this ribosomal RNA (616 nucleotides) under Escherichia coli BCE007_MS-11. Lineage: Bacteria; Pseudomonadati; Pseudomonadota; Gammaproteobacteria; Enterobacterales; Enterobacteriaceae. The record is from RNAcentral.
AGAGUUCAUAUCGACGGCGGUGUUUGGCACCUCGAUGUCGGCUCAUCACAUCCUGGGGCUGAAGUAGGUCCCAAGUGUAUGGCUGUUCGCCAUUUAAAGUGGUACGCGAGCUGGGUUUAGAACGUCGUGAGACAGUUCGGUCCCUAUCUGCCGUGGGCGCUGGAGAACUGAGGGGGGCUGCUCCUAGUACGAGAGGACCGGAGUGGACGCAUCACUGGUGUUCGGGUUGUCAUGCCAAUGGCACUGCCCGGUAGCUAAAUGCGGAAGAGAUAAGUGCUGAAAGCAUCUAAGCACGAAACUUGCCCCGAGAUGAGUUCUCCCUGACUCCUUGAGAGUCCUGAAGGAACGUUGAAGACGACGACGUUGAUAGGCCGGGUGUGUAAGCGCAGCGAUGCGUUGAGCUAACCGGUACUAAUGAACCGUGAGGCUUAACCUUACAACGCCGAAGAUGUUUUGGCGGAUGAGAGAAGAUUUUCAGCCUGAUACAGAUUAAAUCAGAACGCAGAAGCGGUCUGAUAAAACAGAAUUUGCCUGGCGGCCUUAGCGCGGUGGUCCCACCUGACCCCAUGCCGAACUCAGAAGUGAAACGCCGUAGCGCCGAUGGUAGUGUGGGGUC